Molecule: transfer RNA, 82 nt
Rfam family: tRNA
About the family: Transfer RNA (tRNA) molecules are approximately 80 nucleotides in length. Their secondary structure includes four short double-helical elements and three loops (D, anti-codon, and T loops). Further hydrogen bonds mediate the characteristic L-shaped molecular structure. tRNAs have two regions of fundamental functional importance: the anti-codon, which is responsible for specific mRNA codon recognition, and the 3' end, to which the tRNAs corresponding amino acid is attached (by aminoacyl-tRNA synthetases). tRNAs cope with the degeneracy of the genetic code in two manners: having more than one tRNA (with a specific anti-codon) for a particular amino acid; and 'wobble' base-pairing, i.e. permitting non-standard base-pairing at the 3rd anti-codon position.
GCGGAAGUGGCGAAAUCGGUAGACGCACCAGAUUUAGAUUCUGGCGCCUUUGGGUGUGCGAGUUCAAAUCUCGCCUUCCGUA